GGGAUUACAGUCAAGAGCCACUGCACCCAGCCCCCUCACUGUUGCAUGAAUGGAUGAAUGAGUUGAUUAUGAACCGUUUUGCUUAGGGGGACAUUUCUGGCUUUUCCUCCCAUGUGAAGUCAGAUGGACCAGAGGUGGAAAUGAUCCCACUGAGAAACCUCUUUGCUUCUAAAGGGACCUCUCAAGGGUCUCCUCCUGCUUGUCUUCGGCAACAGGCAAGGCCAAAGACCCUUCCUCCCAUCUGCAGCCACCAGUUCCUGCUUUGUGACUUGUGCAGUAGGAGUUUUGCA
Long non-coding RNA from Homo sapiens (human), 290 nucleotides. RefSeq lists it as uncharacterized. The record is from RefSeq and is a predicted model, not a curated record. NCBI's taxonomy places the organism in Eukaryota, Metazoa, Chordata, Mammalia, Primates, Hominidae. The transcript has 3 exons.